AACACAUGCAAGUCGAACGAGAAAGCCCCUUCGGGGGUAAGUANAGUGGCGCNCGGGUGAGUAACACGUGGAUAAUCUGCCUGAUAAUCUGGGAUAACAUCUCGAAAGGGAUGCUAAUACCGGAUAAGCCCNCAGCCUUUUNGGAGGCAGCGGGAAAANAUGGCCUCUUCUUGAAAGCUAUUGUUAUCAGAUGAGUCCGCGGUCCAUUAGCUAGUUGGUAGGGUAAUGGCCUACCAAGGCGACGAUGGAUAGCUGGUUUGAGAGAAUGAUCAGCCACCCUGGAACUGAGACACGGUCCAGACUCCUACGGGAGGCAGCAGUGGGGAAUUUUGCGCAAUGGGGGAAACCCUGACGCAGCAACGCCGCGUGAGUGAUGAAGGUUUUCGGAUCGUAAAGCUCUGUCAAGAGGGAAGAAACCUCAGAAAGCUAAUACCUUUCUGACUUGACGGUACCUCUAGAGGAAGCACCGGCUAACUCCGUGCCAGCAGCCGCGGUAAUAC
Molecule: ribosomal RNA, 500 nt
Filed under: uncultured delta proteobacterium
Lineage: Bacteria; Deltaproteobacteria
Description: bacterial SSU rRNA
Rfam family: Bacterial small subunit ribosomal RNA
Source: RNAcentral